GUCCACGCUGUAAACGAUGAGUGCUAGAUGUUGCGGGUAUUGACCCCGCAGUGUCAAAGCUAACGCGUUAAGCACUCCGCCUGGGAGUACGGUCGCAAGAUUAAACUCAAAGGAAUUGACGGGGCUCGCACAAGCGGUGGAGCAUGUGGUUUAAUUCGACGCAACGCGCAGAACCUUACCUGGGUUUGAACUGCAGCAGACCGGCGCAGAAAUGUGCCUUUCCUUCGGGACUGCUGUGGAGGUGCUGCAUGGCUGUCGU
RNAcentral lists this ribosomal RNA (259 nucleotides) under uncultured bacterium. RNAcentral's name for it is "partial 16S ribosomal RNA". It matches the Rfam family "Bacterial small subunit ribosomal RNA", at positions 793 to 1055 of the family's 1533-position model. The record is from RNAcentral.